This 1163-nucleotide long non-coding RNA is filed under the name Anas platyrhynchos platyrhynchos (common mallard). RNAcentral describes it as "lncRNA (ENSAPLG00000026206.1)". Lineage: Eukaryota; Metazoa; Chordata; Aves; Anseriformes; Anatidae. The record is from RNAcentral.
AGAACUCACAUUUUUAUGGAAAUAAAUAUCACUUUCAAACCAACAAAUUCCAGUGGGCUGAUGUCUUUGUCUUUUGUCAAGUAAAAGUAAUGGAUGGAAAGUUCCGAUCCACAAGAGGCCAUGGUACUGGUACCACUUGUAACUAUGUGAUUAAAAUGGUUCCAAAUUAUUACAUCAGCUAAAAACUAUUGUGCUGUUAAAGCACACUGGGCAUGUACUCUAGCUCCAGUCCCCAGCUACAGAUAUGAGCCAGAACCAGCAGGACUGAUAAUGGACUCAGAGAUGCAUCCCUAUGUCUAGGUAGAUCACUGAAUAAUAGAAUCAUUAAGGUUGGAAAAGACCUCCAAGAUCAUCUGUUUCAACCAUCUCCCUGCCACCAAUAUUACCCACUAAACCACGUCCAACCAAACCACAUCUGACCUUUCCUUAAAUACCCCCAGGGACACUGACUCCACCGUCUUCCUGGGCAACCCAUUGCAAUGCCUAACCAACCACCAUGCAACCAUGAGCUGAAAAACUGCAUCACAUGUUCAGAAACAUAACACUACUAAGUUUAUCUGGCAACUGACAAAUGCCCAAGAAGCCAAGUGCAGAGCAUUCUACCUGCAGCUGGCAGAUGAUGAAGGAAAAAAAAUGUGAAUGGGAAGAUCUCUCCAAGAAUGUCUGUUUCCACUAUAUUUUCUAUCCUAUAACUAAUUAUUCUGGCUGGACAAAAAAUAAAAUAGAACACAAUAAAGCACAAUAAAAAACCUGGAUGUGUAUUGGAUUCCCAAGUUCGCUUGAAGCCAAAACUUCAGGUACAUGAAGGGGAAGCAGAAACGGUCCUCUUUAUCCCUCAGCCAAAAUAUCAACAUAACACUUGCCAGUCAUUCUCUGCUGUGAUUAUCAGAUUGGCAUAUAAACUGAUAAUUGCCAUCCUGCUCAGAAUGGAGCACACACACAACUUCAAACAAACUAUUCUCUAGUGCUUGGCUUUAUCAGUAACUCAAAACAACAAUCGUAAAGCACGUCAGCUAAAUUUCCCCCCCAGGCAUUGCUGUGCCUCAGGUUUUAUGUGCCAGCCUCCAGCAGGUCUGAAGGGGAGGAAGGAGGGAGCACAGUUUCCAAGUGUUGCUACAAGGCUAACACAGCUCCUUCAGCUUUCCAUCACCAUUCUUCUCAGA